CGAACGCACAUUGCGGAAUCGGGUUCUUCCCGGUUCCAGGUUCUCUUGACGGCGUCAUU
RNAcentral lists this ribosomal RNA (59 nucleotides) under Trichodorus primitivus. Its description in RNAcentral is "partial 5.8S ribosomal RNA". Lineage: Eukaryota; Metazoa; Nematoda; Enoplea; Triplonchida; Trichodoridae. The record is from RNAcentral.